RNAcentral lists this ribosomal RNA (263 nucleotides) under Escherichia coli. Its description in RNAcentral is "partial 23S ribosomal RNA". It matches the Rfam family "Bacterial large subunit ribosomal RNA", at positions 1101 to 1362 of the family's 2925-position model. Lineage: Bacteria; Pseudomonadati; Pseudomonadota; Gammaproteobacteria; Enterobacterales; Enterobacteriaceae. The record is from RNAcentral.
UUGGCUUAGAAGCAGCCAUCAUUUAAAGAAAGCGUAAUAGCUCACUGGUCGAGUCGGCCUGCGCGGAAGAUGUAACGGGGCUAAACCAUGCACCGAAGCUGCGGCAGCGACGCUUAUGCGUUGUUGGGUAGGGGAGCGUUCUGUAAGCCUGCGAAGGUGUGCUGUGAGGUAUGCUGGAGGUAUCAGAAGUGCGAAUGCUGACAUAAGUAACGAUAAAGCGGGUGAAAAGCCCGCUCGCCGGAAGACCAAGGGUUCCUGUCCAA